Molecule: unclassified non-coding RNA, 316 nt
Filed under: plant metagenome
Description: partial contains 5.8S ribosomal RNA, internal transcribed spacer 2, and large subunit ribosomal RNA
Rfam family: 5.8S ribosomal RNA (bases 1-105)
Source: RNAcentral
GAAAUGCGAUAACUAAUGUGAAUUGCAGAAUUCAGUGAAUCAUCGAGUCUUUGAACGCACAUUGCGCCCCCUGGUAUUCCGGGGGGCAUGCCUGUCCGAGCGUCAUUGCUGCCCUCAAGCCCGGCUUGUGUGUUGGGUCGCCGUCCCCCUCUCCGGGGGGACUGGCCCGAAAGGCAGCGGCGGCACCGCGUCCGAUCCUCGAGCGUAUGGGGCUUUGUCACAUGCUCUGUAGGAUUGGCCGGCGCCUGCCGACGUUUUCCAACCAUUUUUUCCAGGUUGACCUCGGAUCAGGUAGGGAUACCCGCUGAACUUAAGC